AUUGAACGCUGGCGGCAUGCCUUACACAUGCAAGUCGAACGGCAGCACGGGAGCUUGCUCCUGGUGGCGAGUGGCGAACGGGUGAGUAAUACAUCGGAACGUACCCUGAAGUGGGGGAUAACGUAGCGAAAGUUACGCUAAUACCGCAUAUUCUGUGAGCAGGAAAGAGGGGGAUCGCAAGACCUCUUGCUUUAGGAGCGGCCGAUGUCGGAUUAGCUAGUUGGUGAGGUAAAGGCUCACCAAGGCGACGAUCCGUAGCGGGUCUGAGAGGAUGAUCCGCCACGCUGGGACUGAGACACGGCCCAGACUCCUACGGGAGGCAGCAGUGGGGAAUAUUGGACAAUGGGCGCAAGCCUGAUCCAGCCAUGCCGCGUGAGUGAUGAAGGCCCUAGGGUUGUAAAGCUCUUUCGCCAGGGACGAUAAUGACGGUACCUGGAUAAGAAGCCCCGGCUAACUUCGUGCCAGCAGCCGCGGUAAU
This 478-nucleotide ribosomal RNA is filed under the name uncultured bacterium. RNAcentral's name for it is "bacterial SSU rRNA". It matches the Rfam family "Bacterial small subunit ribosomal RNA", at positions 30 to 524 of the family's 1533-position model. The record is from RNAcentral.